AAACAGAGAAUCCGAUGUUUAAA
RNAcentral lists this small nuclear RNA (23 nucleotides) under Arabidopsis thaliana (thale cress). RNAcentral describes it as "snRNA_10166". Lineage: Eukaryota; Viridiplantae; Streptophyta; Magnoliopsida; Brassicales; Brassicaceae. The record is from RNAcentral.